UACGAAGGGGGCUAGCGUUGUUCGGAAUUACUGGGCGUAAAGCGCACGUAGGCGGACUAUUAAGUCAGGGGUGAAAUCCCGGGGCUCAACUCCGGAACUGCCUUUGAUACUGGUAGUCUCGAGUCCGGAAGAGGUGAGUGGAAUUCCGAGUGUAGAGGUGAAAUUCGUAGAUAUUCGGAGGAACACCAGUGGCGAAGGCGGCUCACUGGUCCGGUACUGACGCUGAGGUGCGAAAGCGUGGGGAGCAAACAGG
This 253-nucleotide ribosomal RNA is filed under the name uncultured bacterium. Its description in RNAcentral is "partial 16S ribosomal RNA". It matches the Rfam family "Bacterial small subunit ribosomal RNA", at positions 524 to 776 of the family's 1533-position model. The record is from RNAcentral.